This 919-nucleotide ribosomal RNA is filed under the name Neospadicoides amphibia. Its description in RNAcentral is "SSU rRNA". It matches the Rfam family "Eukaryotic small subunit ribosomal RNA", at positions 69 to 999 of the family's 1831-position model. Lineage: Eukaryota; Fungi; Ascomycota; Sordariomycetes; Xenospadicoidales; Xenospadicoidaceae. The record is from RNAcentral.
GCAUUAUACUCGCGAAACUGCGAAUGGCUCAUUAAAUCAGUUAUCGUUUAUUUGAUAAUACCUUACUACUUGGAUAACCGUGGUAAUUCUAGAGCUAAUACAUGCUAAAAAUCCCGACUUCGGAAGGGAUGUAUUUAUUAGAUUAAAAACCAAUGCCCUCUGGGCUCACUGGUGAUUCAUAAUAACUUCUCGAAUCGCAUGGCCUUGCGCCGGCGAUGGUUCAUUCAAAUUUCUGCCCUAUCAACUUUCGACGGCUGGGUCUUGGCCAGCCAUGGUGACAACGGGUAACGGAGGGUUAGGGCUCGACCCCGGAGAAGGAGCCUGAGAAACGGCUACUACAUCCAAGGAAGGCAGCAGGCGCGCAAAUUACCCAAUCCCGACUCGGGGAGGUAGUGACAAUACAUACUGAUACAGGGCUCUUUUGGGUCUUGUAAUUGGAAUGAGUACAAUUUAAAUCUCUUAACGAGGAACAAUUGGAGGGCAAGUCUGGUGCCAGCAGCCGCGGUAAUUCCAGCUCCAAUAGCGUAUAUUAAAGUUGUUGCGGUUAAAAAGCUCGUAGUUGAACCUUGGGCCUGGCUGGCCGGUCCGCCUCACCGCGUGCACUGGUUCGGUCGGGCCUUUCCCUCUGGGGAACCGCAUGCCCUUCACUGGGCGUGUCGGGGAACCAGGACUUUUACUUUGAAAAAAUUAGAGUGUUCAAAGCAGGCCUAUGCUCGAAUACAUUAGCAUGGAAUAAUAGAAUAGGACGUGCGGUUCUAUUUUGUUGGUUUCUAGGACCGCCGUAAUGAUUAAUAGGGACAGUCGGGGGCAUCAGUAUUCAAUUGUCAGAGGUGAAAUUCUUGGAUUUAUUGAAGACUAACUACUGCGAAAGCAUUUGCCAAGGAUGUUUUCAUUAAUCAGGAACGAAAGUUAGGGGAUC